CUCCCUGUUGUGAAGUGCACCAUUGAUAAUACCCUGGACCAGUGGCUACAAGUCGGGGGUGAUAUGUGUGUGCACGCCUACCUCAGCGGGCAGCCCUUGGAGGCUACCACUCUGUGCCAGCUCCACAGCACCUGCCACCUAUAGGACUAGAAGGGAGCACAAGCUUUGCUGAACUGCUCUUCAAAUUUAAGCAGCUAAAAAUGCC
RNAcentral lists this long non-coding RNA (205 nucleotides) under Homo sapiens (human). RNAcentral describes it as "non-protein coding lnc-ZC3H8-6:1". The record is from RNAcentral. Lineage: Eukaryota; Metazoa; Chordata; Mammalia; Primates; Hominidae.